RNAcentral lists this small RNA (2246 nucleotides) under Histoplasma capsulatum. Its description in RNAcentral is "hypothetical RNA". The record is from RNAcentral. Lineage: Eukaryota; Fungi; Ascomycota; Eurotiomycetes; Onygenales; Ajellomycetaceae. RNAcentral also lists the same sequence under 1 other name.
CCAAGCCAAAGAAUCCCCGCGGGUGGUGCAAGCAAGUGCCUCGGUCGGCUGCCGUUAGCGAGCUGCAGGGCCGAAAGCCCAACUGCCAGCCUCCUGGAUUAGCAUGCCCAUCCCCAGUUCGUCAGCACCUGAUCGCGCAGGAACGCGAAGGUUGUGUUUAAAUCUUUGAUUUGAAUCGCGUUCGAGAAGAAAUCUGGGUUGUACAUCGUCAACAUUGGACUAUUCUUGUUAGAAUUGCAACAACCUCUUCGCGCCCGAUAUGCAUGUCACAUAGAAGGUUUGGUUUCGAACUCCUUGAGAAAUGACCAGCCCAAUCCAGCUUCUGCUUCGCAUGACAAUGAAUGGUCUAGUGUUUACGCGACGAUCGUGGUUAAUCGGCAAAUCGUUUGUCCUCCCUUCUAUGACUUGAUAAUAUACAACCCCACCACCAUUGUUAGCUUCAAUGCAUGACGAACAGGAAGGGUGAGGAGAGCAGGUGGAAAAGCACCAUCGCGUCAUUGAUUGACAGCUGGCAGUCACCGUGCAGGUUUGGGCGUCGCGUUGGGUAGAGUUCUUGCAGGUUGGGGCAACGAAUCAUGGUCAUGGCUAUGUCAAACCGUAGAUGUUCUUCAGGGUUCUUUCUGCCUGAAGGAAAUGGGGCGAGAUUUUUAUCCUUCUGCCCGCGUUUCAGGUCAAUGUUGGAUUUUGGCCCCUUGAUGCGCUCCGUCUGAAGCCCGGAAGAUGAACUAAAUCUUUUGACGGAUUGUCUAUGUAUGUGUGAAGAACAUGUUCCCCCACCAAUGAACCGAUCCCCCACACCGAGAAUGGAGAUGCUGAAGACAAUAAUGGAAUAUCACAUUUCAUUUUCUGUUCGUUUCGUCCCAUAAAAGUGUUGUUCUUGUUGUGGUUCUACACUGUAGUAAAAGAUUCUUUCUGUUAAUUACCAACUUGGUGUCUGACUCGGAGAGCAACAAAAUCUCAGCUAUAGGCGAUAUUUAUAGUGCGUGAAAACCGAGGCGUCAAAAGAAAUCAAAGAUCCAUACUGGCCUACUGACAGGUGCUCCGCCUGGUUUAUAACAUCCCGCAAAUAGUUUCAUAUCGAGAUUCAACGGGCUGGAGAGUUUCUAAGUAGUUCAGUCACAUAUUUGUACAUAUCGACCUGUAGGUAGAAAAAGACUGAAAGCAACUGCUUCCGACAAUAAAACCAUCUUCCUGUUCGGCUGGCUUCAUGAUAUUGAUGGGCAGGAACGAAGCAACUGCGGACAUUGUGGAUUCAGCAAAUUAUUCUAACUCCCAAUCCGUCUUCUCUUGCAUGAAUUUCACGAAGUCACUAAGCAUAGUCUCUGAAUACCAGUGACCCAGCCCUUCAUACUCAUUCCACGAAACAUGCAUUCCAAGUGCCUCAACACAGGCAACUGCUUCUCUUCCCAAACGGAUAGGAACCGUCAUAUCUUCAACCCCAUGGCCGAGAAAGAGUGGCGUCUGCUGAAAAAGAAAACCUUGAGAGGAUGAGGGGAGCUGCAGAGGGCGGGGAAUCUGAAGCUCGCCCCUGAAGAAGUCAAUAGCAUUACCAACCGCAUCACUGCCAUUUUUAGAUUUGAUUUCACUUUCACCAUCUGUGCUAGAAAGUUGAUUGAGCCUCUCUCCCUCGAUCGUUUGAUCAUCCUCCCCUCUGCCGCCUGUUAGAAUACUCCUAAUCCGCUUUUCAAAUGGCAGUCUGCCACAGAACCCAACAAGCGCGCCUAACACCUCGCUUUUCUCUCCCCCUUCCCCAAUGCCAUCCCAGAGUAAACAUGCCACAAUACUGGUAGCGCAUCCCUGGCUCAGCCCCCCCAAAAGGAGAUUCUUCGCGCCACCUUCGACCAACGAAAUCUCCCGCUGCAGUAAAUCAUGUAAGAAUUGCGUCGAGUCCCGUAGUCCACUACUCUGCAACGAGUCCCGCGCAAGGGGGAAUGGUCGGUCGCUGUUGUCAUCUGUAGGAGAUGAAGACGACGGCAGCCACCAGAGAUCAAACCACUGGCUCAUGAGAUCGCUGUUGUGUUGUUGGGGACGUCGCAGUGGUGCCGUUGGGAAAACAAAUUUUGCGUGAGGGAAAGCAUCUUGUAGGGUACCGAAUUUGGGAUUAGAAGGCUGUGAGACGGAUGGCAGAGGAAAUGACGUCGAGAGGAUAUCACGUCCGAAACUAGGACCAUCGUCACCCCUCCCGUGGAGCAAGAUUAUUGUUUGCUUGUGAGAUUUGAGAGGCUGGAUGAUAAAGGGUGGAGGAU